This 492-nucleotide ribosomal RNA is filed under the name uncultured bacterium. RNAcentral's name for it is "partial 16S ribosomal RNA". It matches the Rfam family "Bacterial small subunit ribosomal RNA", at positions 29 to 507 of the family's 1533-position model. The record is from RNAcentral.
AGUGAACGCUGGCGGUAGGCCUAACACAUGCAAGUCGAACGGCAGCACAGUAAGAGCUUGCUCUUACGGGUGGCGAGUGGCGGACGGGUGAGGAAUACAUCGGAAUCUACUUUUUCGUGGGGGAUAACGUAGGGAAACUUACGCUAAUACCGCAUACGACCUACGGGUGAAAGCAGGGGAUCUUCGGACCUUGCGCGAUUGAAUGAGCCGAUGUCGGAUUAGCUAGUUGGCGGGGUAAAGGCCCACCAAGGCGACGAUCCGUAGCUGGUCUGAGAGGAUGAACAGCCAAACUGGAACUGAGAAAAGGUCCCAACUCCCACGGGAGGCAGCAGUGGGGAAUAUUGGACAAUGGGCGCAAGCCUGAUCCAGCCAUACCGCGUGGGUGAAGAAGGCCUUCGGGUUGUAAAGCCCUUUUGUUGGGAAAGAAAAGCAGCAGGUUAAUACCCCGCUGUUCUGACGGUACCCAAAGAAUAAGCACCGGCUAACUUCGUG